Non-coding RNA from Bos taurus (domestic cattle), 72 nucleotides. NCBI's taxonomy places the organism in Eukaryota, Metazoa, Chordata, Mammalia, Artiodactyla, Bovidae. The record is from Rfam.
UCCCUGGUGGCUCAGAUGGUAAAGCGUCUGCCUACAAUGUGGGAGACCCAGGUUUGAUCCCUGGGUUGGGAA